Molecule: ribosomal RNA, 326 nt
Filed under: uncultured bacterium US23
Lineage: Bacteria
Description: bacterial SSU rRNA
Rfam family: Bacterial small subunit ribosomal RNA
Source: RNAcentral
GGCUACAGGCUUAACACAUGCAAGUCGAGGGGAAACGACGGGGAAGCUUGCUUCCUUGGGCGUCGACCGGCGCACGGGUGAGUAACGCGUAUCCAACCUGCCUCUGACUGAGGGAUAACCCGUCGAAAGUCGGCCUAAUACCUCAUGGCAUCGUCUGCGGGCAUCCAACGACGAUUAAAGAUUUCAUCGGUCAGGGAUGGGGAUGCGUCUGAUUAGCUUGUUGGCGGGGUAACGGCCCACCAAGACGACGAUCAGUAGGGGUUCUGAGAGGAANGUCCCCCACAUUGGAACUGAGACACGGCCCAGACUCCUACGGGAGGCAGCAG